Oryza glumipatula is the source of this 205-nucleotide non-coding RNA. Lineage: Eukaryota; Viridiplantae; Streptophyta; Magnoliopsida; Poales; Poaceae. The record is from Rfam.
UUUAAGUACAGCUAUAGGUUUCCGUGUCCAACUUUGAUCAUCCGUCUUAUUUGAAAUUUUUUAAUAAUUAAUAUUUUUAUUAUUAUGAGAUGAUAAAAUAUGAAUAGUACUUUAUAAGUAACUUGUGUUUUUCAAUUUUUUUAAUAAAUUUUUAAAUAAGACGGACGAUCAAAGUCGUGUAUAGAAAAUCAUGACGGAACUUAAA